AUGCUAUCAUUUCGGAGAACUGGUUAAGUUGGAAAAGUGCAAUGGAGUCAUUGGGAGCAAAAGAAGGAGAAAUCUUCCAUUUGGAGUGUAAAGGGCAAAAAGGUUGAUUCACAGGCGAGUCAUACUUGGAGCAGACUAGGUUGGGAAAGGAAGAGGUGGAGAAUGAACCGUCAGUUUCCCAUAGCUGAAAGUCGAACAGAGAACUAGACUGUCGGUUCUGUGGAACCGACAGGCCGUGUGUGAUCUGGUUACCCCUUAACCACUAAAGUAGGGUGCCGAUAGCAGUUUUGGUUCCUACACAUACCCUAAAAAUCAGAGAGCAAUAAUUCUCUUAUCAUUGCCUUACUACCUCUCCUUCUUACUCCACCUGAAAUUCAGAGAAGACGGUUGCGGCUGAGAUAAACCGACAAGAAGAGAUGAAGAAAUUCUGCUGCUGCCAUGGAUCUGAUGCUGUGAUGGGUUUUCUGCACUUGAAGUAGCAGUGAUGAACAAGAUAAAAGAAAUUCAAGAUAGAAAAUAUCUGUCGAUGAAAUACAAGGAAUUGAUACUUGAAUUGCACAUGGGUUUCUGAGUUCAAGUUAUUGUUGGUUGGAUGUGCUAUAUUGUAGGUGAUACUGGAAAUUACAGUUGCAGACAUGAAGCUGAAUUAGGGUUUUGUUGAAUUUGAACUCUCAAUCGAGAACUCAGCUGAAGAAAUUAGAGUUAGGUUCAAGUGUUAUGAAGAUGAUGAUUGUUCUGAAAGGAAGGAAGAAUUGAUUUCUGCAGCUGUACAAGGAAGAUGGGUUGUUGCAGAAUGUGUUGCAGGAACUGAUAACAAGGGUUUGUGUCGGAAUGGUUAGAAACCAAAGGAGUUGAAUGAAAUUGAGCUACAAGGAAUGAGCUAAGAAAAUGAAGCCUGUAGGGGUUUGUGUGGAUGUUAGGGUUCAUACCGAGAGAAGAACAGAUGAACUGACAUUGAGAAGAUUGUGGUGGAAUUAUUGGUUGAACUUGAUCUGUGUUUGGCUCUUGAUUCACAGGUUAAGGUUUUGUUGAGCUGAAAUGGUUUUGGAAUGACUCAUGGAGGUUGUCGAUGUGUUGAGCAGGUACAGUUUAUGAUUGCAGAAGAUGAACUGAAGUGCCACCAGUUUAUGAUUGCUUAAGCGAUUACAUAGAGCAAAGAAUGGAUGUGAUAUGAAAUUGCAGGUGGAGUUACUGAAUUGCAGUGGUAAUAGAUUUGUUGCUUUAAAAGAGUGAUCCAGCUACAUCUGAGUUGCUGCAAUGGGUUUGUAAUGGGAAGCUAGAAUGAUGCAGUGAGAUAGAUGCAAUGCAGAGCUGAUGGUGUUGGUUGAGCAGUGACAGUAAUGAAGGAGUUGCAGGUGCAAGUGAAAUUGCAGUAAGAAGGAGCAACUGAAACUGGUGCGACUGCAGUUGAGAAAGUGGAGAGUCUGCAAUGGAAUGGAACUGGCAGUGGCAGCUGAUGCACAGAGCAGGGUUGUGUUGCAGGAGCAGAAUUGAGAUGGAAGCAAGCUGAGGUAAUAAUGGUAUGAAACUGCGGGCGAUGGCGAACUCGCAAGUGAGUUUGAACUGCAGAGGUUUUUGAAGGCUAGCUUUUGCCAUGUAAAUAUGAGUUACAGUGAGUUGUGCAAGUGAUGCAGCUGGAGUUGAAUGAGCAGAUGGGAUUUUAAGCUACAGAAGACAUGAGUCUAAAGUUCAGGUAGGAAUAAGGUGGUGCCGAGACAUGGUAUCUGCCAGAGAUUACAUGGUAGAGUUGUGUGAACUGCAGGAGAAGUACAUGGUGGUGUUGACAAUGGAGACAAGAAGCAGCUGCAGUUGCAGAUGAACAAGAAAGAUUGAGAAACUGGAAUUGAUUGCAGCUGAUGACUUGUGUGGUUUUGAAAUGCAUGAAUUGCAGCAAUUGAGCUGAACUGAAUUGGCUAGAGUUUGGUAAUCUGUGAGGUUACAGCAGAGAAGACUAUGUAGCAUGAUAUGAACUAGUAGUACUGCUUCAAGGAAGUGUUGCUGCUCAAUGGUGCUGAGUGAAGUUGCAGCAGUAAAUUGAAAACAGUAGAUGAAUGUUUAGGAAAUGACUUGCAGUGCAAAUUUGGGGUUCUUGAGAAUUGCAGGUGAUUGGGUUAAUGUUGCUGGAUGGGCUGGAGUUGCUUGCCAGUUUUACAAGACUGACAAGCAUAGCAAGUUAUGGGCUUAAUGGGCUUUGAUUAAGGCCUGAAUUGUGGUCAUUAGUAUGGGCCAGAUAGGCUCAGUCUUUGACGAGCUAGCCAAGAAUUGCGUGUGAUAUGGCCUGACUUUGGAAGUUAUGACCGACUUUUGGGG
Molecule: long non-coding RNA, 2310 nt
Organism: Papaver somniferum (opium poppy)
Lineage: Eukaryota; Viridiplantae; Streptophyta; Magnoliopsida; Ranunculales; Papaveraceae
Exons: 2
Source: RefSeq, a predicted model, not a curated record